Long non-coding RNA from Aethina tumida (small hive beetle), 412 nucleotides. RefSeq lists it as uncharacterized. The record is from RefSeq and is a predicted model, not a curated record. Lineage: Eukaryota; Metazoa; Arthropoda; Insecta; Coleoptera; Nitidulidae. The transcript is spliced from 2 exons.
AUGUUUCUUUCUUCAUUGAAUUGAGUCAUUUUAUCUAUGAUUAUAAAUGUUUGACACUUGUGAGUUUAACUCAAGUUACGUCAAAUAUAUUUUUAAUAUCUGUCAGAAAUUGAAAAUUGAUAAAAUAUGGAAAAAUCUUUGAAGAGCACCAAAGAAAAACUGGACAAGCUUGAGGAUGAUAGAAAGAUGAGAAGGGCCAACUUUUUGAAAAAUAUAGCUGCUUUACGUAAGUUAAAUUCUAAUCGUGAAGCAGCAAAAGUUGAAGAUGGGACUGUUGAGAAAUCUAAGGAAACCACUAACUUAGAGGGAACUAAAACUGAAGAUGUAGAUAAAAAAUUCCAAUAAAUUAUCAAAGAAUCCGAAUAAUCAGUAUACAUUAUUAUAUUUCGAAAUAAAUUGAUCAGUUACUUUA